UACAGAGGGUGCAAGCGUUGUUCGGAAUCAUUGGGCGUAAAGGGCGCGUAGGCGGCUUUAUAAGUCGGGGGUGAAAGCCUGUGGCUCAACCACAGAAUUGCCUUCGAUACUGUAGAGCUUGAGACCGGAAGAGGUAAGUGGAACUGCGAGUGUAGAGGUGAAAUUCGUAGAUAUUCGCAAGAACACCAGUGGCGAAGGCGGCUUACUGGUCCGGUUCUGACGCUGAGGCGCGAAAGCGUGGGGAGCAAACAGG
Molecule: ribosomal RNA, 253 nt
Filed under: uncultured bacterium
Lineage: Bacteria
Description: partial 16S ribosomal RNA
Rfam family: Bacterial small subunit ribosomal RNA
Source: RNAcentral